AGCUCUUUUAGUGUAUAUUAAAUUUGUUGCAGUUAAAAAGCUCGUAGUUGAUAGUCGGGGGACGGAACUUCUUUAUUGAGGUUUCCUGAACCUAGGUCUGUAUAUUUGCAGACCAGUUACUUUGAGAAAAUUAGAGCGCUUAAAGCAGUCAUUGAAUACGUUAGCAUGGAAUAACAAUAGGACGAGGUUUCUUUUGUGGGAACAUCGUAAUUGAUUAAAAGGGACAGUCGGGGGCAUCAGUAUUCAGGAGCUAGAGGUGAAAUUCUUAGAUUUCCUGAAGACUAACUAGUGCGAAAGCAUUUGCCAAGGAUGUCUUCA
RNAcentral lists this ribosomal RNA (318 nucleotides) under uncultured eukaryote. RNAcentral describes it as "SSU rRNA". It matches the Rfam family "Eukaryotic small subunit ribosomal RNA", at positions 587 to 972 of the family's 1831-position model. The record is from RNAcentral.